RNAcentral lists this ribosomal RNA (253 nucleotides) under uncultured bacterium. Its description in RNAcentral is "partial 16S ribosomal RNA". It matches the Rfam family "Bacterial small subunit ribosomal RNA", at positions 524 to 776 of the family's 1533-position model. The record is from RNAcentral.
CACGUAGGAGGCGAGCGUUGUCCGGAAUCAUUGGGCGUAAAGAGCGCGCAGGCGGCUUGGCAAGUCGGGUGUGAAAUCCCGGGGCUCAACCCCGUGACUGCAUCCGAUACUGUCAGGCUAGAGGUAGGUAGGGGAGAUCGGAAUUCCUGGUGUAGCGGUGAAAUGCGCAGAUAUCUGGAGGAACACCGGUGGCGAAGGCGGCGUUCUGGACUGCUACUGACACUGAGGAACGAAAGCCAGGGGAGCAAACGGG